RNAcentral lists this transfer RNA (83 nucleotides) under bacterium. RNAcentral describes it as "tRNA-Ser". It matches the Rfam family "tRNA". From Rfam's summary of the family: Transfer RNA (tRNA) molecules are approximately 80 nucleotides in length. Their secondary structure includes four short double-helical elements and three loops (D, anti-codon, and T loops). The record is from RNAcentral. RNAcentral also lists the same sequence under 1 other name.
GGAGAGGUGUCCGAGUGGUUUAAGGAGCACGCUUGGAAAGCGUGUGUACGAAAGUACCGCGGGUUCGAAUCCCGCCCUCUCCG